Triticum aestivum (bread wheat) is the source of this 3849-nucleotide RNA transcript. RefSeq lists it as uncharacterized. The record is from RefSeq and is a predicted model, not a curated record. The transcript is spliced from 2 exons. NCBI's taxonomy places the organism in Eukaryota, Viridiplantae, Streptophyta, Magnoliopsida, Poales, Poaceae.
CAUAGUCUAGGUAAUUCAUAUAACGGAAAUAGCAUGUGUUCAUUUUGUUUAUCCUCAUUGUACUUACUUUUCUUAAUAUUUCCUCUUGUUACCUCUCAUUUCCAUAGGUACAUAUACAAAUAGUCGAUUAUGCGUAUCUGUUAGAGACUACUAUUUUCUACAAGUUUCAAAUACGUCGUGGUGUAUUUAACACCAUGCUAUAUGGUAAACGACUGUUCCAACAGUAUGUGGUUGAUAUGUACAUCAAGGUUGAAAGCUCAAGAUUGGACUAUAUCAGAAAUCACCAGAAACAAAUACGUGCUGAUCUAUACCAAGGUGUUGUUGAUAGCCUUCAAGCUGGGGAAAAACGUGCGGAUGCAGUGGGCAAAUGGACUAUACUUCCUACAUCAUUUAUUGGGGGAAAAAGAGAUAGGAGACGAAGGUAUCUUGAUGCCAUGGCCUUGGUGCAAAAGUAUGGGAAACCAGAUAUAUUUUUAACCAUGACUUGCAAUCCAAAUUGGGAUGAGAUAAUUAGUGAGCUAGAGCCUGGACAAACCCCACAGGAUCGCCCUGAUCUUAUCGUACGAGUAUUUCGAGCAAAGUUGGAAGACCUCAAGAUACAACUUUUUAAGAAGCACAUGCUCGGUAAGGUAGCAGCAUAUGUUUAUGUCGUUGAGUUUCAGAAAAGAGGUCUACCACAUGCUCAUUUCCUCCUAAUCAUGGAGGGGAGGUACAAGCUAACUUGCCCAGAGCAAUAUGACUGUCUAAUAUCUGCUGAAUUGCCAGACAAAUCCAAGUACCCAGAGUUGUACAAAAUGGUCGUCAAGCACAUGAUGCAUGGCCCGUGUGGAGUCCUCAACCCCAAGAACGUGUGCAUGCAAAAUGGUAGCUGCAAGAACUACUAUCCACGACCAUUUAAUGCGUCAACCCUUCAGGGAAAGGACUCAUAUCCCAUAUACCGGAGGAGAGAUGAUGGACGUCGUGCGAAGGUAUGGGGUGAAGAUUUAGACAAUAGGUGGGUUGUUCCAUACAAUCCUUACCUACUAAGAAGGUAUAACUGCCACAUCAAUGUUGAGGUUUGCUCAAGCAUAAAAGUUGUGAAGUACCUCUUUAAAUACAUAUAUAAGGGGCAUGAUCGAGCAUCUGUUUCUAUCGACGCGGUGGAUAGUGACGGAAACAUUGAUGAAAUAAAGCAAUACAGAGAUUCCAGAUGGGUUACACCACCAGAAGCAUUAUGGAGGAUCUAUGGUUUUGACCUUAGUGAGAUAUUUCCUUCUGUUAGGCAGCUACAACUCCACCUCCCUAAUAUGCACAUGGUGUCAUUCCCGGCGGGCGCAAAUCUGAAUGAUGUCCUCUCCCAGGAAGGAGCUCCCAAGACCAUGCUAACCGAGUAUUUUGAAGCAAACAAGAAGUAUGAGUUGGCCUGGGGAAUUUUAUAUAAGGAUUUUCCGGCAUCUUUUAUUUGGAUCUCGGGUGGAAAGUAUUGGAAAAGGAGGGAUGAACGCACACAGAUCGGGAGAAUUGUGUCUGCUCAUCCAGCCGAAGGGGAGAGGUAUUAUCUUAGAGUGCUUCUAAACCAUGUCACAGGUGCUACAUCUUUCCAAGACCUAAGGACAGUGGAUGGUAUUGUUUUCCCGACAUUUCGUGAAGCUGCUGAAAGGAGGGGUCUUAUCGAGUCAGAUAAUACUAUUGACGAGUGUCUUAAUGAAGCUGAGGUUUUUCAGAUGCCAUCUUCCCUUCGAAGGCUAUUUGCCACUAUAUUGGUCUUUUGUGAGCCCAGCAAUGUGCGUGUUCUAUGGGACAGGCACUUGGAAGCUAUGACAGAAGACUAUCGACUAUACCACAUGUCCCCUCAUGCAGUUGAGCAGAUGGCUUUGUUAGAUAUAAAAAGUAUGUUUGAAUCGAUGGGGAAGGACAUAUCAUCAUUCCCUCUUCCAGAAAUUGAUGAGUCGUAUGAUGGCUCAAAUAACGAGGCUAGGGAGAUCACAGAGGAGUCGACGAUAGGGGUGAACCCAGAACACCUUGGCUUUUCAUCUUUCCUAAACCCAGAACAGAGAUAUGCAUAUGAUGAGAUACUUGCAACAAUCAAUAGUGGCCAAGGAGGUGUGUUCUUUGUUGAUGGACCAGGAGGCACUGGAAAGACUUAUCUAUACAAAGCACUACUUGCAAAAGUACGUGGUGAGGGUAAAAUAGCUAUUGCAAUAGCGACAUCAGGCGUUGCUGCAUCCAUCUUGCCCGGCGGGAGGACUGCACACUCAAGGUUUAAAAUACCAUUGAACAUUGAAGAUGGUGGAGUUUGCAGCUUCACCAAGCAAAGUGGGACAGCUAAGCUUCUUAUGAGCGCCUCCCUCAUAAUUUGGGAUGAGGCCUCCAUGACAAGGAGACAGGCAGUCGAGGCCCUUGAUAAUAGCAUGAGGGACAUCAUGGCUCAACCUGACCUGCCAUUUGGCGGAAAGACUAUCGUGUUUGGGGGAGAUUUCAGACAAGUGCUUCCUGUUGUUCGCAAGGGAACAAGGUCACAAAUAAUUGACGCGACGCUACGCAAGUCUUACCUUUGGGAGAGUAUGAGACAUAUAAGACUUGUCCGUAAUAUGAGGGCUCAAAGUGAUCCAUGGUUUGCUGAUUAUCUUCUGCGUGUUGGGAAUGGCACCGAAGAUACUAUGGAUGAUGGUUACAUACGAUUCCCAGAUGAGAUUUGUGUACCAUAUACCGGCGUUGCCUCUGAUAUUGACAAGCUUAUUGAAAGUGUUUUCCCGAUGCCGCUAGAUGAAAACCUCUUGGAUCCAAACUACAUAACGUCCCGAGCAAUUCUAUCAACUCGGAAUGAGUACGUUGACAAAAUCAAUAUGAGGAUGAUUGAGAGAUUUCCUGGGGAGGAGAUGAUAUACUACAGUUUUGAUCGCGCGGAGGAUGAUCCACACAACUACUACCCUGCAGAAUUCUUGAAUUCAUUGACACCUAAUGGUAUACCUCCCCAUAUCCUCAAGUUGAAGAUAAUUGUUCUAUUAUAUUGUUACGGAACAUUGACCCAGCGAGUGGGUUGUGCAACGGGACGAGGCUGAUUGUCUGAGGGUUCAUGAGGAAUGCAAUUGAUGCUGAGAUUGUGCUGGGCCAGCAUGCCGGUAAGAGGGUGUUCCUUCCUCGAAUUCCUCUUUGCCCAUCAGAUGAUGAGAUGUUUCCAUUUAGGUUCAAGAGGAAGCAGUUUCCAGUCAGGCUUAGCUUUGCUAUGACCAUUAACAAGGCACAGGGACAAACUAUACCAAAUGUUGGUGUAUACCUCCCUGAACCGGUAUUUUCACACGGGCAACUCUAUGUUGCUCUUUCUAGAGCUAUAUCAAGAAGUAAUAUGAAGAUUCUUACUGUCCCAGAAAAGCAAAAGGAAGGCCAAACCAACUCCAAUGCAAAUUUUACAAAGAACAUAGUCUACAAAGAAGUUCUCAGCCUGUAGUUCAAGGUGAGCAGAUGGAUGAUGUGAGAGGCCCAAAACUAAUAUGGUUGGCAUAAAUGUUUUGAGCAAACAACUAAAGAGGAGUUCACAGGGCUUGCAUUUGACGAAGCCACUGUUCGAAGGAUGCUGGCACAUGGCACAUCAUUUUGCCAUAGUAAUCUUGCUUAUGGAGCCCGAUUAUUUUGGUUGUACUUGUAUGUACUCAUGUAUGCAAGUUAUGCACCAAGUGUUUUAUUUUAUUGUUUUCUCUUUUCUCAUGUGAGUUAUCGUGGCUUGUUACUGGAUGUGAUAUGUUUGUGAGGUGCUCAAUGUCUUUACCAUUUCUAGCAGAUAAUUGUGUGCGGGUUGGAAUUGUAGUCCAUGUUAAGCAAACAGAAGCCAAAGACAGGCAAAUGGAGAGAUAAAGCUGGUGAAUGUUGUCA